GGCUUGUUGCCUAUCUAGUAAGCUGCUUUUCUGUGUCCCCACUCAGGUUCCAAACUCCAUACUCCACAUAUUGAUGAUUUUAGGAGUGUCCAGCAUUCACUGCCAAGAAAUGAAGAGAUACUAGAAUGAGAAAUAGCUGAUAGUUUCAUUUUCUUUUUCUUCUUCUUGGAAAUGCACAGAAUUCUCAAAAACAACGAGACCCAUGAAAUUUAGUGAUUGACCAACACACACUUAGAAGUAAUGGACGGAUGUCAGAGAGUGUAUAAAUUUGGCAGAAAUGCAUUGAACCUGCUGCUUUUCCAUGAAGAAGCCGGGUUGGGCUGCUAGUGAAGAGACUGAAGCACACAGGAGCGUGGUUUCGCAGCUGAACUUCAGGGAACACAGACACCAGAAACAGGAUAAUCUGGAUCAAAACUAACCAAAUGCAACUUGAGAAAGGAGAGGAAUUAAUUGACUCCAGGUUACAGUCCAUCAUCAAGGGAAGCAAGGGCAGGAAUUGAAGAAGAAAUUGUGAAGGAACACUGCAAACGGACUUGUUCUCUACAGCUGUAUCUCUCCCUGAUUUCUUACCCAGGACUACAUUCCUAGGGUGUGCACUCACCACCAUGAGUUGGGUCCUGCUACAUCCAUUAAUUCAUCAAGAAAAUGCCCCACAAACACACAAAACAUCAGAUCUGAUGGAGUUGCAAAUUUAGAGUUUCUCUUCUAAGUGAGGCAAUGUGCGUCAUGCCUCUAAUCACGGCACUCUGAUGAGUUCUUAUCCUCAGAUACAAUUACAAUCAUGUCAAAGCCUCCCUGGGAAAGCCACCAUCAUAUUUCCUAGGUUAUUCCAGUUACCUAUAUAUUUACUACAUUCUGUUCUUCUCAAUUUCAAUAAUUCUUCUAGUAAUGAAAGUUCUAGUAUACCUAGGAAGGAAAGAGUAUCUAGGCAGGGUUUGGUCUUCAUUUGCGAUUGUUGGUUGGUUGGUUGGUUGCUUGCUUGCUUGGCUUGGCUUGGUUUUGGUUGGUUUGCUUGGUAUUCCUUGUAAUAAAGAAUAUGGAUAGCACA
Molecule: long non-coding RNA, 1048 nt
Organism: Mesocricetus auratus (golden hamster)
Lineage: Eukaryota; Metazoa; Chordata; Mammalia; Rodentia; Cricetidae
Exons: 2
Source: RefSeq, a predicted model, not a curated record